UCUUUGUGAUUCAUGCAAGAUUCCGAAGAGGUAGGCAGCUCACAGUGGGGCCUUCCCACUUAGCUCCUUUCAAACUCACAACAACCCUCUGAAGUGGGCGGUGGUCUCAUCUAGUCUGGUCCUGCUUCACAGAUGAAGUAAUUGAGGGUCAGCUCAAGAGGUUCUGGGGCCUGGAGGAAUGAAGAGGGCCCCUCUUUGGGAGUCCAGUCCAAUGGCUUAACCCAAAGCUCCAUGCGAGGCCAGCUGCUGGGACCUGCAACUUUGCCUUUGCCCUGGAGCCCCAUGGAAGACAGCAGGAGACACGGCGGGGUUCUCUACAGGCAACAAGGAGUGUGGGUGGUAGCGGGCUCUGGGAGCCCUCCCCAUUCCAUGGGGCUGGGACCAUGCAGCCCGCUGGACAGGAUUAGCUCUACAAGGAUGCUCAUCAGUGCGGUGUGCCUGGAUGUGAUGCUGGCCCGAUGUGGAACUUCAAAGCUGAAAAGGAAGUAUCUGAUUGGCCAGAUGGCUAUCAUUGUGCAUCCAGCGUGCAUUCACAGACGCAUGGAUAGUGACGCGCAUGUGUCCCACACUGAGGAGUCAACUGGACCAGGCCAACUGCUGGGCUGGGGCCCCGGGUGGGAGUUGGGGAGAGGAAGAGGUGAGAGGCUGGGGGCCAAGACCCAGAAGGUUGACCUGUCAAGGAGUCAGGAUGUCAUCCUGGGGCACUGGGAAGCCACUGGAGGGCUUUGUGCAGUGACAAGGCCAGGACUGCAUCCAGAAAGAAGGCUCUGGCUACAAGGGAGGAGGGCUCAAGCACGAGUCUGGAGGAAGGAGGUGAGGGGACCCUCUGGAGAGAAGACAGGCCAGUGGACAAGGCCCCUCCUCCCCCAAAGCACCAACAGUCCACGAUGGAGUCUGCCAAGAAAAUGAUGCUAAAUCUGAUCUGGCACCAGGCGGCUCUGCUGAAGGAGACUUUUGUCUUCAAGCCCUUCUCUUUCCACGUUUUCUCCUCUUGUCUCCACUGGUCCCCCGCGGUUCUGCUUCUGUCCCCUGUGGUGCUGCUCCCUUUCCUCCUGGGCUCCCUCCCCUCUGUAUCCUCAGACCUCUGCAUGUUUUCUCUCUUUCCUCCUCCUCCUCCCCAGCCCUUGAUGCCUGCCUCUUUCCCUAGCUUUUCAGGGGCCAAGCCCUCCGUUGGACACCCUUCUAAAAGAAAGAAAGAAAGAAAGAAAGAAAGAAAGAAAGAAAGAAAGAAAGAAAGAAAGAAAGAAAGAAAGAAAGAAAAGAAAGAAAGAAAAGAGAAGAGAGAAGGCAGUGGCUGGAUGCAGGGCCCCUGAAAUGUCUCCAGGCUGCGUGGAGGGCCCCUGCCCACUGCCCCCUCCUGCAGCGAGGGUCUCCAGUUUCCUGACUUGAUCUAGUCUCCAUAAUGCCACCGGUGGGAUCUUCCUGGAACACAAUCAAUCCUAAGAACCUUCGGAAGCUCAGCAUGCCAUACAGAGAGGCCUUUCACAUUGGCACCAGCCCGCUCUUCCAACAUUACGCCAAAUUACUCGCUGUUGUCACCUGACUCCAAGAGUUCGAAUAAAGGGGCAUGUGCUUGCGUGUAUUUGGACGUGUAGACUUCCCCUCGCACGUCGCGUCUGGAUCUGGGCUCUCUGCCAACUCCAGCAUCUCCCCAAGCCCUGCACGAUGGUUAGAUGCACA
This is a long non-coding RNA of Canis lupus familiaris (dog), 1680 nucleotides long. RefSeq lists it as uncharacterized. The transcript is spliced from 3 exons. The record is from RefSeq and is a predicted model, not a curated record. Lineage: Eukaryota; Metazoa; Chordata; Mammalia; Carnivora; Canidae.